This is a long non-coding RNA of Drosophila pseudoobscura, 996 nucleotides long. RefSeq lists it as uncharacterized. The transcript is spliced from 2 exons. Lineage: Eukaryota; Metazoa; Arthropoda; Insecta; Diptera; Drosophilidae. The record is from RefSeq and is a predicted model, not a curated record.
UUUCAGAAAGAUGAUGAAAGAUCAUAAACAGUUGAGUUGCUAUAUGUUGAGACAGUCACUCUGCUCAACUCGAAUCCAAUGAAUUUAACGGAUUUUUAAAGAGAAAGGUGGAAGAAUAAGCCACAAUGUUUUUAUCUUGCCUGGGAUCGAACCUUCACGCGAGUCCUAUUUUAGAACUCUACGCUAGAUGAUGGAAUCUUGGAAGUUAUGAAUUUUGUUAGUUGGUUUUCUUGAAAAUGCUAAUAGAAAUUUGCAUCUUAAGUGAUCUGCAACGCAAUUAAAAACAUAACAAUCUGUACCCGGCGACAAGAAAAAAAUUGCACCCUGAAAUUUCAUGCAUUGUUGACUUCUUAUGGACCUCAUGUCAAAUUUUUUUUUUUAAUCAAUUUUAAUCAAAUAUUCAUACUAAAUUUGUUGAUAUAUUCAAAUAAUUGAAAAAAUAAUAUCUUCCUACUGUGCGAACUUUAAUAAGAUUAAAUAUGGACAUAUCCGAGAAUAUGAUUCGUAACCACUCAGAUUGGACCAAUUUAAGCGAGCUGUCUUCAUUCGACCUUUCAAAAGUGGUUUUUAACCGACGUUGAAUAGUUCGAGCCGAAAUUUCAUUUGUAAAACUGCUGCUUCUUUGAUGCUAUCUCAUCAUAAAUUUUAAACGCAUCCUGAGACUUAUUUAAUAAUAACACGAUCUUUCCUUACCCCUUUGCUAAGAUUGUUACCACAAAAUAUUACUUAACAAAAAUGCUGAAUUACAGACGUGGGAACAGAUGUGAUUUAGCGACGACAAAGAUAAAAAUUAGACGAAUCGGAAGUCACAGGCUGGAAAAGUAAAAUAGGUAUGAAAUUCAGAGUGCGGCUUUUUUUGUCGCCGGGCGUAGGAGCUUACAUUGAGCCAAAAAAAUAAAUGACUUGUUGAAUCUCUAUUAUAUAAAUCAGUAUUAUCAAUAUAGUAUGAAAUCAGUAUAUAAACAAUUGCUUCCGUCAGCAUACACCAAUACAUCA